Molecule: long non-coding RNA, 639 nt
Filed under: Sorghum bicolor (sorghum)
Lineage: Eukaryota; Viridiplantae; Streptophyta; Magnoliopsida; Poales; Poaceae
Description: long non-coding RNA (SBIC_LNC013101)
Source: RNAcentral
AGGUAGAAAAUAAAGAAUCACUAAUAUAGCAAGGCAAUCUUGAUAUUCAAAUAAAAUAAAAGAAACCUAUAUAAUUACUAAUAUAAAGUCUACAGCCUACACCAAGCUAUACAUUUUCAUCUAUAGUGUGAAAACUUAGAAAAUAUCAUAAGGAGCAUCAACUAAUGAGGAUAUUAAGACACAAGGGUCACUUCCUUCGUGACCGCGCUCGGCUAAACCAACACAGCUGUCACCUACACGGACUACCACAUGACCUGGCACAUCAGGGUGCCUCCGUAGGUACACAAUAUAUCUAGACACCACGUCUACAUAAUGUGCACCACCUAACUCACUCGAGUAUUGAAUCAAGCGCUUUACGAUCAUAUAAUGAUAAUCAUCAUAAACCAGAUCUAUAUCGAAUAUGCAACUAGAAUAAACUAAGAACUGAAUAAGUAGUAAUAUAUUGUUUUAGAGCAAAGUCAUAAUGAAAUACAAGAUAAUAUUACAAAUUUCUAGAAGGCAGAUCUGGAAUCCCGAGCGGAGUGCCCGAUUUCUACUUGAACCUCGCUAGACGCCUAUACUAAGAACUUGAAGAACUAAAGCUCUACUUCUAAUCUCUGGAAACCCUGACUUCUGACUACUCUUGACAAAUGAAGUAGG